GAAUGGGGAAAUCUAAAACGAUUAGGGGUUAAAAAUGAAAUGGAGUUAUAUGUAUAAAAUGAAGUUAUGAAAGAAGUCGUACCAAAUCUAAAGGGUCAAAAGACUCAAGCUCUCCAUUUGUUUCUGUCAGUUCGCUGAAUCUCUAGAUACAACUUGCAAUCUUAUUUACACCGCCAAAAACUUAGGGGACGAUGGUGACAU
Long non-coding RNA from Arabidopsis thaliana (thale cress), 201 nucleotides. RefSeq annotates it as other RNA. The transcript has a single exon. The record is from RefSeq. Lineage: Eukaryota; Viridiplantae; Streptophyta; Magnoliopsida; Brassicales; Brassicaceae.